GCACAUUCCUCAGAUGGAUGUAACCUGUACAAAAGAAAGACAGCAAAUAUAUUGAUUUUAUGUAAAUGUAGAAACACAGUACUUCAAUUCCCAAUGAUAUGAAAUACCAAAUCAUAGAUAAAGUUAAUUAAUUUUAAAUACUUACGUGCCAUUAAUGAGCUUUAUUCUUUUCUUUCUUCCAAAUGUAGUGAGUGAUAGGCCAUCCAUCGAUGAUAUUGGUGCUGCCCCAACUGAAUGACCUUCAUGACCAGAGGUUGAUCCAAUUGCAGGCUCAGAAGAUGGGGUAAUAGGUGGUGGCGGUGGAGGUGGAGGUAUAGCUCGAUGCUGUGUUGAAGCAGUAGACCC
RNAcentral lists this unclassified non-coding RNA (345 nucleotides) under Hevea brasiliensis (rubber tree). Lineage: Eukaryota; Viridiplantae; Streptophyta; Magnoliopsida; Malpighiales; Euphorbiaceae. The record is from RNAcentral.